Ctenopharyngodon idella (grass carp) is the source of this 1034-nucleotide long non-coding RNA. RefSeq lists it as uncharacterized. The record is from RefSeq and is a predicted model, not a curated record. NCBI's taxonomy places the organism in Eukaryota, Metazoa, Chordata, Actinopteri, Cypriniformes, Xenocyprididae. The transcript is spliced from 3 exons.
UCUAGACCGGCUGGAGCAAAGUCUGUCAGACAGAGGGUUUCUGCAGAGAAUGGUGAACAGAUUAUCCAUCAGCGGCGGGCCGACAAUGAAGAAGACCGUCUGGAGAAUCUGCUCCAAGGUCUUCAGCACUGAUGUCGCCCGCCAGCUGAACUGGUGUGGGAGAGGAGACCAGCGGGGAUCAGAAAGACAAACAUCGGGUCACUGUUAACCGCUUCAGCCAUGAGGAAUCCCGUCCUGCCGUCUCCAACGGAAGCAGAGGCGGAGAAAUAUAUCAAAGAUUUUCUUCGCUUGGCUCCAGGGAGGGUGUAAUUGUUUAUUUAAAUUAAAUGUAUGUUAUUGUAAGUGUAUUGUUUUGUUUGAAAUAUAUGUUAUGGCGUUAUGUUAAUGGAUUUUUAUAAUUAAUUAAAAGUUGUAAUCAAUAUAAUGAAUUAGAAAUACGUUUUUUUUUUUUGCCUAAUAAAUAUUUUUAAAAUCAUCAACAAAUGCGUGUUUUAUUGUAGGUUCAGAACAGCGUGGUUAUUUAACGUUAUUUAAUCGUGAAGAUGUGUAAUGGCUGGAUUUUGUGAGUUAAUUUUAUUAAUGGGAGGAAUUAUAUCUUAAAACGAUGUCUGGGCUACAUAAAUCAGAUGUCUUGCAGCCGUAUAAACAUCUGAUAAACGUCUUUAAAAGAGCGGAUUGCCGACGUCCUGAAUUAUUAACGUCUUCUAGACAUCGCCUAGACGUCGUUCUGACAGCAGGGACGCCUCGCCCUAAAAUAUACGUCUUCCAGAUGAAAAUGAGUCGUCGCACAGAUGUCUGCACUAUCUGGGUGCUGAAUUCAGGCAAGACGUUUCAAGCUUCAUGAAAACAUCAUAAUAUCGAAGUUUUCCAUCAUUCUUUCUAAUUUUGAACAAUGAUCAAGCGCCACUGACACUUUAUUUCUUUUAAAUCAUUUUACUUCUUUUAAUCAGUAAUGUUUGUGAACGACAGUACGCUUUUUACCUCGAGUCGAUCAUGAUCGUCGAGCUCCGUGUUUGACAUCAGAAGUUGUAGUA